Molecule: RNA transcript, 2390 nt
Organism: Populus nigra (black poplar)
Lineage: Eukaryota; Viridiplantae; Streptophyta; Magnoliopsida; Malpighiales; Salicaceae
Gene name: protein NRT1/ PTR FAMILY 5.10-like
Exons: 5
Source: RefSeq, a predicted model, not a curated record
GCAUUUUUUUGCUGAACAAGACGGCAAUUCUUUAUAAAUGUUAUCCUCCAUGCGUUAGCAUAAUUGGAACCAGAUUAUGAUUGCUGGUCAUUUUAACUAGUAAACAGUAGUUGUAGUAAACUGCGAUGUCCAUUUCUAACCUCUCCAGUUCAGAGGCACAAGAGGUCCGAACUCCACUCCUAAACGACACUGUUGAUGGCUGCGUUGAUUAUAAGGGCAACCCAGUUUGUAGAUACAACUCUGGUGGAUGGAGGCCUGCAUCUUUCAUUAUAGGUGUGGAAGUUGCAGAGAGGUUUGCUUAUUAUGGGAUCUCUUCCAACUUAAUAACGUAUUUAACUGGGCCGUUGGGUCAAUCAACCGUUACUGCGGCUAAGAAUGUGAACGUAUGGUCAGGCACAGCGUCGUUGCUGCCCUUGUUCGGUGCAUUUGUUGCUGAUUCUUUUCUUGGAAGAUGCAGGACUAUUAUUAUCGCCUCACUUAUCUACAUUUUGGGACUUGGCUUGUUGACUCUAUCAGCUAUGCUUCCUACAUCUGACUGUCAAAGUGACAGCAUGUCCUGUUCUUCUAAUACACUGCAAGUGAUUUUAUUAUUUAUUGCUCUCUAUCUAGUAGCACUUGGCCAAGGUGGGCACAAGCCUUGUGUCCAGGCUUUUGGAGCGGAUCAAUUUGAUAGACACGACACCAAAGAGUACAAAGCCAAAAGCUCAUUCUUCAAUUGGUGGUAUUUUUUUCUGAGUUCAGGCAUCUUAGUAUCACUACUGGUUUUAACAUACAUUCAAGACAAUCUUAGUUGGAGUCUUGGAUUUGGAAUCCCAUGCAUUAUGAUGAUCUGUGCACUGAUCAUCUUCUUACUGGGAUCAAAGAAAUAUCGGUACAGUGUUAAAAGGAAAGGGAACAACGCGCUUUUGAGAAUUGCUCGGGUCUUUGUGGCAGCUUUCAGGAAUUGGCGAUUUACUCCUUCCCCAAUAGCUCCUGAGGAAGAAGGUCGUGGAACUGUACCUCACCAAAGUUAUGAGCAGUUCAAGUUCCUAAACAAUGCGCUGCUUACAACAGAUGGCUCAAAAGAAGAUCAGAAGGUUUGUACCUUUCGUGAUGUUGAAGAAGCCAAGGCAGUACUCAGGCUUAUUCCAAUAUGGACUACAUGCUUGGGAUAUGCUAUUGUGUUUCCACAGUCCUCAACUUUCUUUGUCAAGCAAGCAGCAACCAUGGAUAGAUCAAUUUCACCAGGUUUCGAAAUACCAGCAGCUUCACUUGAAAGCUUUAGCAGCAUUUCCAUGAUCCUCUGUAUUGCUAUCUAUGACCGUCUCUUUGUUCCUGUUGCAAGAUCUUUAACAAGGAAACCAUCUGGCAUUUCAAUGCUUCAGAGAAUUGGAACUGGGAUGUUUUUAUCUGCUGUUUCGAUAGCAUUUGCUGCUCUAGUUGAGAUGAAAAGGCUCGAAAUCGCUCAAGAAUCUGGUCUAGUCAAUGAACCAAAUGUGACUGUUCCAAUGAGUGUUUGGUGGUUAGUCCCUUCAUAUGUCUUGUUCGGAGUUGCUGAUGUCUUUACCAUGGUUGGUCUGCAAGAACUUUUCUAUGAUCAGGUCCCUAGUGAUUUAAAGAGUGUUGGUCUUUCACUAUACCUCAGUAUCUUUGGUGUAGGAAAAUUUCUUAGCAGCUUUCUCAUCUCUGUCAUUGAGAAAGCGACUGGUGGCAUUGGCUGUUGUAGCUGGUUCGACAAUAAUUUGAACCGGGCUCAUCUUGAUUAUUUUUAUUGGAUACUUGCUGCGCUAAGUGUGGUGGAAUUGAUUAUGUACAUGUAUUAUACAAGAUUUUACAUUUAUAGUAGGGAUGAGAGAAUCUAAGGCAAUGUUUUUCUCAUUACCAUCUCUCUGCAAUUACAAUUGUUGCAAGCAUGCAGCUUGUGGGGAGAGGAGUGGCAUAUUUAAGGAACACAACAUCCUCGUUUGCUGCUAGUCUGCCACUGCUGUGUCGGAUUUGAGCUCAACCUGUUAUGCAGCCUUGUCCAAUGUUAAUAAGUCGCAUUAUGUGUGUCAAGAAAAUGUGCUGCAUGAUGUCCGAUUUUGAAGACAGAAUGUGCUGCAUUUGCUUUGGAUCCUGCUGGAAUACAAAGAAAGAUGGAAGAGGUAAAUAUUGUUAGUUUGUUUCAUCAAGAAAUAGAGAAAACCAGUCUGUUUCUUUGAUUUUGUCUGUGCCAAAGGAAUGUGUUGCUUUCGAGAUUAACAUGUUCAAAGGUUUAGCAUCUUGGAUGUCAAGAUAGCUUGGCAUAUGCUACAUGUUAUCUUUAAUGCUAGAUUUUCGUUUGGCUUGCUUCUUGUACAAAUUCCUAUCUGACCAAUGACCAGAAUUCUAUCAGGUGAUUUAAAAUUUUCAUCGUACUUGCUUUCUUUCAA